GCUUAUGUAGCUCAGCAUCGGUAGAGCAUGAGGCUCUUAAUCUCAGGGUCGUGUGUCUGAGCCUCACAUUGGGCA
This is a non-coding RNA of Podarcis lilfordi (Lilford's wall lizard), 75 nucleotides long. The record is from the annotation of a GenBank genome assembly. Lineage: Eukaryota; Metazoa; Chordata; Lepidosauria; Squamata; Lacertidae.